GGGGAUUUAGCUCAGUGGAGUGAGCACUUGCCUGGCAAGCAUGAGGCCAUGAGUUUGAUUCCCA
Molecule: transfer RNA, 64 nt
Filed under: Cavia porcellus (domestic guinea pig)
Lineage: Eukaryota; Metazoa; Chordata; Mammalia; Rodentia; Caviidae
Rfam family: tRNA
About the family: Transfer RNA (tRNA) molecules are approximately 80 nucleotides in length. Their secondary structure includes four short double-helical elements and three loops (D, anti-codon, and T loops).
Source: Rfam by way of RNAcentral